Long non-coding RNA from Serinus canaria (Common canary), 1662 nucleotides. RefSeq lists it as uncharacterized. Lineage: Eukaryota; Metazoa; Chordata; Aves; Passeriformes; Fringillidae. The transcript is spliced from 4 exons. The record is from RefSeq and is a predicted model, not a curated record.
UAUAGUCCGGCAAGCGCUUCCGGAGACGUGCUUAGGAGUGUUAGGUGGGGGAUGGCGGAGGUAUCUGGUCCGGUGGCCCGGCUGGAUAGGCCCGGUUCGGCCUGGCUCGGCGCGGCAGAAAGUGACAGUUUCAUGUUGGGUGGUCAGAAAGGGUAAUCCGAACAUCAUCUCAUAGGGUGACCCUCCCAGGUCUGACCUGGGUUGUGUUCGGACCCUCAACAGAGCCAAAGAUCUCAAAAAUCUGGAAGAUGCUGUGAAGACAUUGGACAGAUGCCAUGGCAACAGCCUCCAAAGGAAUGGAUCGAAGUUGCGGCACAGGAAGUUUUGGAUCAACAGGAAUACCGCAAGUGUUCUGGACUGAGAAAGUAACAGAGAACCGUCCAGAAAAGACAUGCCUUCUCACCGCCAGUGGAUGUCAUCCAGGAACCAUAUCAGUAAAAGGUUUGAUUGACACUGGAGCAGAUGUCACAAUACUCUUGCGACUUUGUUGGCCUCACUCGUGGCCUCUCACUCAUGCAAGUUUUGGACUUCUGGGGUUGGGUGGUGCUACGACAGGUGGUUUGUCAGCCAUUGUAAUUAAUGUGAAACAUCCUGAUGGCCAACAAGCUAACAUCAGACCCUAUGUUGCCGAUGCUCCUCAAAGUUUGUGGGGACGAGAUUGUUUAUCUCAAUGGGGUGUCAAAAUUACUAUGAGAUUUUUAAUAGGGGCCACUGUGAUGCAGGGCAAUGAACGUCCAGUUGUAGCCCUGUGAGAGUCUGUCUGAAAUAUCCCUCAUCUGCCUCACAACUGUCAUUGGGGGACCACUGAAGAAAAGACUCCUCUGUCGAUCUCUGGCUUUGUAGGAGAAAGUUACACAAAGGCCCUGAGACCUGAGAGCAUUGCUAAGUAAUUGUUUUCACAGGUGCAUGCUACAUGCUACACUGAGCCCAAUGAGAAGAAGGGGCACUGUGCCCUUUUGCAACAAUAGCCUUGGAAGCUGUCACACCUCUUGGCCUGGCUGGACUUCUCCUGAGCUUUUGGCUGGUCCCCCAUAGAAGACCCCUCUCACUUGUUUGCAACCACCGUGACAAACAAGCUGAGAUGACAGAAGCCUCUCCACCAAAGAAAAAACCCGAGACAUGAAAUCCCCACGUGAGAAAGGCCUCCCUCACACUUUCCAAGGACUGGGACUGGAGCCCCCAGCCCGGGGGAGGUGCACAGGGGGAGGCGAGCUGACCAAAGCAAGAUGGAUGUUGCAGGUGCGGGGACUAGACCACGAAAACAAUGGCCCUCGCCCGCUGAGAUAUGGACUGUGUGUACCCUUUUUCCAAAUACCAUUCUCUUUACGAUAAAUUCAGUUUCAAAACAAUUCCUUCCCCCCCAUCGAAAAGUGUAUAAUUGGAGUCCAGAUGGACUGCAUCUCUGAGAUCUCCCCAAUGUAACAGGCGGAUCCUCGACUGGACUGGACCUAAGGACUUCGUCUCUACAUUUGGUAGCUAUAUUCCCCUUUUUCUCUCUUUCUCUCUCUGUCUUUUUCUCCCUUAAUCCCUCUACCACAUUUUGCUGUGGUCAUUCAAUAAAGGUGCAUUUGUUUUGAUUAUUGCUGCAAAACCCCCUUGUACCGCGUCGGGUUUUUUUUGUUUGCACCCUGAGAUCCCUUAUGAACCACCACGAAACCCGUC